GACAGAGGGUGCAAACGUUGCUCGGAAUCACUGGGCGUAAAGGGCGUGUAGGCGGGAAGGAAAGUCGGGCGUGAAAUCCCUGGGCUCAACCCAGGAACUGCACUCGAAACUUCUUUUCUUGAGUGCCGGAGAGGAAAGCGGAAUACCUGGUGUAGAGGUGAAAUUCGUAGAUAUCAGGUGGAAACACCAGUGGGCGAAGGCGGCUUUCUGGACGGGUAACUGA
RNAcentral lists this ribosomal RNA (223 nucleotides) under uncultured bacterium. Its description in RNAcentral is "partial 16S ribosomal RNA". It matches the Rfam family "Bacterial small subunit ribosomal RNA", at positions 524 to 743 of the family's 1533-position model. The record is from RNAcentral.